AUUGAUGUCAUAAAAUUUCUAGGAGUAGUUCAUCGCAGUGUAAAAUAUGUCACUUCCUGUUGCCAAUAGGUGGCGCUAUGACUAUAACUGAAUAUGGGCAUGUCAAUCUGUUCAGGUCAGGAGUCUCAUCAAACAUGUGAAGUUUGGGGCAGACUGGUCAUUGUAUGUCUGAGUUAUAGCAAUUUCCUGUUUCAUGGCGAGUCAUCGAAAUUCGCCAGGCCGCCACGGACACGCCCAUUAACGAAAACUCAAAAGCUUCGCAAUUUAACAUCGCAAAGGCCUUCAGAUUAGCCAUACCAAAUUUGGUGUUGAUCUGAAUGAAUCUCUAGGAGGAGUUCGUUAAAAUACGACGCAUGGAAAUGACAAAAAUGACACAAAAUUUGCUCAUAAUAUUAGUAAUAACCGACUUCCUGUUGGGUUUCGGAUUUUGCUCCAAGAGACUUUUUUGUAGGUAUUGGAGAGUUACAUGAGGAUACCGAUUUUCAUACAUGUACAUGAAACGUAGCUCGAGGCGCACACCGUUGAACGUGUAUAGGUGGCGCUGUUGAGCCAUUUUGCCACACCCACUUCUGAAACCCAUAUCAGACGUAAAUUUUCGCCAGUUCUGAGGUGUGUGCAAAGUUUCAUGACUUUUCGAGCAUGUUUAGGCCCUCAAAAAUCCGAUUCAUUUUGGAGAAGAAUAAUAAUAAUAAUAAUAAUAAUAAUAAUAAUAAUAAUAAUAAUAAUAAUAAUAAACGGAGCAAUUCCAAGAGGGUCCUCACACCAUCGGUGCUCGGGCCCUAAUAAUUAAAGCUGCAAGCAGCGAUGAACGGGCCCUCGCACCCGGGCUCACCGCCAUCGUGUGGCUUUAGUAAAAAGGUGAACGUUGAGAAAUAUGCAUUUAAACUCAUAAAUAUAAGUGCAAUAUAUCAAAGUUUAUUCCAUAUGUGUGCCAAUCUUCCUGUUGCCAGCAGGUGGCGCUAUCGUUAUAAUGGAAUAUUGGCCUUCAGAUGUGUUCAAGCCAGGACUCUUAUCACACAUGUGAAGUUUGGGCAAGAUCGGACAUUUUAUGCCUGAGUUAUAACAUCUUUUAUUCCCAUGGCGAGACAUCGAACUUCGUCAUGGCGACAUGGACAUGCCUUUUAACAAAAACUCAAGAUCUUCACAACUAAACAUCACACAGGUCUUUAGAUUAGACUGACCACAAAAAAGACAUUGAUGUCAUAAAAUUUCUAGGAGUAGUUUGUCACAGUGUAAAAUAUGUCACUUCCAGUUGCCAAUAGGUGGCGCUAUGACUAUAACUGAAUAUUGGCAUGUAGAUCUGUUCAGGUGAAGAGUCUUAACAAAAAUGUGAAGUUUGGGGCGGAUUGGACAUUGUAUGUGUGAGUUAUAGCACCAUCAUUUUUCACGGCGAAUCAUCGAAAUUUGUCAGGCCGCCAUGGACACGCCCUUUAACGAAACCUCAAUUCCUUCGCAAUUUAACAUGGCAAAGGGCUUUAGAUUACACUGACCAAGUUUGGUGUUGAUCUGAAUAAAUCUCUAGGAGGAGUUCGUUAAAAUACAACCCCUGAAAAUGACAAAAACAACACCAAUUUUGCAGGGAAAAUUAAAAAUAACCGACUUCCUGUUGGGAUUCGGAUUUCGUACCAAGAGACUUUUUUGUAGCUAUUGGUGUGUUACAUAUGUUUACAGAUUUUCGUACAUGUAUAUGACAUGUAGCUCGAGGCGCACUCCAUUGAAAAUGUAUAGGUGGCGCUAUCGAGCCAUUUUGCCACACCCAAUGGAAUAUUAGCCUCCAGAUGUGUUCAGGUCAGUACUCUUAUCAAACAUUUGAAGUUUGGGCAAGAUCUGAUAUUUUAUGACUGAGUUACAACAACUUCUACUCCCAUGGCGAGACAUCGAACUUUGACAUGGCGCCAUGGACACGCCCUUUAACGAAAACUCAAGAUCUUCUCAAUUUAACAUCGUACAGGCCUUUAGAUUAGACUGACGACAAAAAAGACAUUGAUGUAAAAAAUUUCUAGGAGUAGUUUGUCGCAGCGUAAAAUAUGUCACUUCCUGUUGCCAAUAGGUGGCGCUAUGACUAUAACUGAAUAUGGUCAUGUCAAACCGUUCAGGACAGGAGUCUCAUCAAACAUGUGAAGUUUGGGGCAGAUUGGUCAUUGUAUGUCUGAGUUAUAGCAACUUCCUGUUUCAUGGCGAAUCAUCGAAAUUCGCCAGGCCGCCACGCACAGGCCCUUCAACGAAAACUCAAAAGCUUCGCAAUUUAACAUCGCAAAGGCCUUAAGAUUAGGCAUACCAAAUUUGGUGUUGAUCUGAAUUAAUCUCUAGGAGGAGUUCGUUAAAAUACAACGCAUGGAAUUGACAAAAAUGACACAAAAUUUGCUCAUAAUAUUAGAAAUAACCGACUUCCUGUUGGGUUUCGGAUUUUGCUCCAAGAGACUUUUUUGUAGGUAUUGGAGAGUUACAUGUGUAUACCGAUUUUCAUACAUGUACAUGAAACGUAGCUCGAGGCGCACACCGUUGAACGUGUAUAGGUGGCGCUGUUGAGCCAUUUUGCCACACCCACUUCUGAAACCCAUAUCAGACGUAAAUUUUCGCCAGUUCUGAGGUGUGUGCAAAGUUUCAUGACUUUUCGAGCAUGUUUAGGCCCUCAAAAAUGCGAUUCAUCUUAGAGAAGAAGAAUAAUAAUAAUAAUAAUAAUAAACGGAGCAAUUCCAAGAGGGUCCUCACACCAUCGGUGCUCGGGCCCUAAUUAAAGCUGCAAGCAGCGAUGAACGGGCCCUCGCACCCGGGCUCACCGCCAUCGUGUUGCUUUAGUAAAAAGGUGAACGUUGAGAAAUAUGCAUUUAAUGUCCUAAAUAUAAGUGGAAUAUAUCAAAGUAUAUCCCAUAUAUGUGCCAAUCUUACCGUUGCCAGCAGGUGGCGCUAUCAUUAUAAUGGAAUAUUGGCCUUCAGAUGUGUUCAGGCCAGGACUCUUAUCGAACAUGUGAAGUUUGGGGAAGAUUGAACAUUUUAUGCUUGAGUUACAACAACUUCUCUUGCUGUGGCAAGACAUCAAAUUUUGUCAUGGCGCCAUGGAAACGGCCUUUAACAAAAACUCAAGAUCUCCAAAAGUUAACAUUGCACAGGCCUUUAGAUUAGACUGACCACAAAAUAUAUGUUAAUCUCAAAAAAAUUAUAGGAGUAGUUUGUUGCAGCGUAAAACAUGUCACUUCCUGUUGCCAAUAGGUGGCGCUAUGACUAUAACUGAAUGUGGGCAUGUAGAUCUGUUAAGGGCAGAAGUUUUAUCUAACAUGUGAAGUUUGGGGCAGAUUGGACAUUGUAUGUCUGAGUUACAGCAACUUCCUUUUUCAUGGCGAAACAUCGAAAUUUGUCAGGCCACCAUGGACACGCCCUUUAACGAAAUCUAAAGAUCUUCGCAAUUUAACAUCGCAAAGGGCUUAAGAUUACACUGACCAGGUUUGGUGUUGAUCUGAAUAAAUCUCUAGGAGGAGUUCGUUAAAGUACAACCCCUGAAAAUGGCAAAAACAAUGCCAAUAUUGCAGAGAAAAUUCUAAAUAACCGACUUCCUGUUGGGAUUCGGAUUUCGUACCAAGAUACUUUUUUUUAGGUAUUGGUGUGUUACAUGUGUAUACCGAUUUUUGUACAUGUACAUGAAACAUAGCUCGAGGCGCACUCUGUUUAAAGUGUAUAGGUGGCGCUAUCGAGCCAUUUUGCCACACCUGAUGGAAUUUUGGCCUUCAGAUGUGUUCAGGCCAGGACUCUUAUCACACAUGUGAAGUUUGGGGAAGAUCGGACAUUUUAUGCCUGAGUUAUAACAUCUUUUAUUCCCAUGGCGAGACAUCGAACUUCAUGACGGCGCCAUGGACACGCCUUUUAACGAAAACUCAAGAUCUUCACAACUUAACAUCGCACAGGGCUUUAGAUUAGACUGACCACAAAAAAUACAUUGAUGUCAUAAAAUUUCUAGGAGUAGUUCAUCGCAGUGUAAAAUAUGUCACUUCCUGUUGCCAAUAGGUGGCGCUAUGACUAUAACUGAAUAUGGGCAUGUCAAUCUGUUCAGGUCAGGAGUCUCAUCAAACAUGUGAAGUUUGGGGCAGAUUGGUCAUUGUAUGUCUGAGUUAUAGCAACUUCCUGUUUCAUGGCGAAUCAUCGAAAUUCGCCAGGCCGCCACGGACACGCCCAUUAACGAAAACUCAAAAGCUUCGCAAUUUAACAUCGCAAAGGCCUUCAGAUUAGGCAAGCCAAAUUUGGUGUUGAUCUGAAUGAAUCUCUAGGAGGAGUUCGUUAAAAUACAACGCAUGGAAAUGACAAAAAUGACACAAAAUUUGCUCAUAAUAUUAGUAAUAACCGACUUCCUGUUGGGUUUCGGAUUUUGCUCCAAGAGACUUUUUUGUAGGUAUUGGAGAGUUACAUGUGUAUACCGAUUUUCAUACAUGUACAUGAAACGUAGCUCGAGGCGCACACCGUUGAACGUGUAUAGGUGGCGCUGUUGAGCCAUUUUGCCACACCCACUUCUGAAACCCAUAUCAGACGUAAAUUUUCGCCAGUUCUGAGGUGUGUGCAAAGUUUCAUGACUUUUCGAGCAUGUUUAGGCCCUCAAAAAUGCGAUUCAUUUUGGAGAAGAAGAAUAAUAAUAAUAAAUAUAGCUGCAAGCAGCGAUGGCGGGCUCAAGCCACCAAUGCCAUCGCCACCCCGGUGGCAUCAGGUAA
This is a long non-coding RNA of Carassius gibelio (silver crucian carp), 4694 nucleotides long. RefSeq lists it as uncharacterized. The transcript is spliced from 3 exons. NCBI's taxonomy places the organism in Eukaryota, Metazoa, Chordata, Actinopteri, Cypriniformes, Cyprinidae. The record is from RefSeq and is a predicted model, not a curated record.